AUUGCUUCUUGGCCUUUUGGCUAAGAUCAAGUGUAGUAUCUGUCUUCAGGCUGACUUCUGUUUGAUCCAGCAGGAAAAACUUCUCCUCUGAGCCCCU
Molecule: small nuclear RNA, 97 nt
Filed under: Bos grunniens (domestic yak)
Lineage: Eukaryota; Metazoa; Chordata; Mammalia; Artiodactyla; Bovidae
Description: U2 spliceosomal RNA (ENSBGRG00000024915.1)
Rfam family: U2 spliceosomal RNA
About the family: U2 is a small nuclear RNA (snRNA) component of the spliceosome (involved in pre-mRNA splicing). Complementary binding between U2 snRNA (in an area lying towards the 5' end but 3' to hairpin I) and the branchpoint sequence (BPS) of the intron results the bulging out of an unpaired adenosine, on the BPS, which initiates a nucleophilic attack at the intronic 5' splice site, thus starting the first of two transesterification reactions that mediate splicing.
Source: Rfam by way of RNAcentral